UACGUAGGGUGCGAGCGUUAAUCGGAAUUACUGGGCGUAAAGGGUGCGCAGGCGGCGUCGCAAGUCAGGCGUGAAAUCCCCGGGCUUAACCUGGGAACUGCACUUGAAACUACGAUGCUGGAGUAUGGCAGAGGGAGGUGGAAUUCCACGUGUAGCGGUGAAAUGCGUAGAGAUGUGGAGGAACACCGAUGGCGAAGACAGCCUCCUGGGCCAAUACUGACGCUCAUGCACGAAAGCGUGGGGAGCAAACAGG
This 253-nucleotide ribosomal RNA is filed under the name uncultured bacterium. RNAcentral describes it as "partial 16S ribosomal RNA". It matches the Rfam family "Bacterial small subunit ribosomal RNA", at positions 524 to 776 of the family's 1533-position model. The record is from RNAcentral.